Molecule: non-coding RNA, 71 nt
Organism: Bos taurus (domestic cattle)
Lineage: Eukaryota; Metazoa; Chordata; Mammalia; Artiodactyla; Bovidae
Source: Rfam
UCCCAGGUGUCUCAGUGGUAAAGAAUCUGCCUGCCAAGCAGGAGAUGCAGGUUCGAUCCUCGCAUCAGGAA